UCCUGCCUCUGGCUGAGGGCUGCGCUCCACUGCUCCCGGUUUGUGCCCGCCCCUACCCGGGCACACACAAACUCAGCUCUGCACGGCCUGCCUGGACCGAGAAAAGUUGCCCUGCCGCUCCCUCCCCAAAGAGGUCCCAGUGGAAGCAGCAAGGACCCCAAAAGUCCUCCCUAUGACUUGGUUCCCACACUUGGUCCCUGC
Molecule: long non-coding RNA, 201 nt
Filed under: Homo sapiens (human)
Lineage: Eukaryota; Metazoa; Chordata; Mammalia; Primates; Hominidae
Description: HSALNT0277621
Source: RNAcentral